RNAcentral lists this ribosomal RNA (510 nucleotides) under uncultured bacterium. Its description in RNAcentral is "bacterial SSU rRNA". It matches the Rfam family "Bacterial small subunit ribosomal RNA", at positions 791 to 1304 of the family's 1533-position model. The record is from RNAcentral.
UAGUCCACGCCGUAAACGAUGGGUGCUAGUUGUUGGCCUUUGGUCAGUGACACAGCUAACGCGUUAAGCACCCCGCCUGGGGAGUACGGUCGCAAGAUUAAAACUCAAAGGAAUUGACGGGGACCCGCACAAGCGGUGGAGCAUGUGGUUUAAUUCGAUGCUACGCGAAGAACCUUACCACCCCUUGACAUCUUGGUCGCGGCUCUUGUAAUGGAGAGCUUUCAGUUCGGCUGGACCAAUGACAGGUGUUGCAUGGCUGUCGUCAGCUCGUGUCGUGAGAUGUUGGGUUAAGUCCCGCAACGAGCGCAACCCUCAUCCUUAGUUGCCAGCACGUUAUGGUGGGAACUCUAGGGAAACUGCCCGUGAUAAGCCGGAGAAGGCGGGGAUGACGUCAAGUCCUCAUGGCCCUUAUGGGGUGGGCUACACACGUGCUACAAUGGCGGUGACAGUGGGAUGCGAACUCGCGAGGGUAAGCUAAUCUCCAAAAACCGUCUCAGUUCGGAUUGCACU